CCCAGCCUGCCGUGGGAAGGACACUUAGCCUCACUUGGCUUAGGGGGUGGGACGGGAGAGGACAGGCACAGACCUGCAGGCCGGUGGGGGCAAGGGGGAGUUGCUGGGUGAGGGUGUUCUGAGCAGAGUGACAUUGAGUUCAAAGCAAUUUCUGGAAGGCAGGAGGACGAAUGAUGGAUUCUCUGAAGUGGGGGAGUCUGGAGCGUGGAGCGUGAGGUGCAGCAGCGGGAAGGAACAUCCGAGAGAGCCAGGGGAUUGAGCGUGAGGAUCUCAAAGUCAGGUUGGGGUUCAGGCUAAGUCAGAGGGCUUUGGGAAACCCACCACAGAUUGCAAGAAAUGAGUUUGAACUUUCCUAGACCAUCGGGCCCAAGAGGGCACAGCAGCGCUCGCUGUGUCUAAAAGCCUCCUGAUGGCUCAGGUGGCUGUCGGGGGCAGACUUCUUACUCCCUGACCACAGCCCCUUGGCCAAGUCACUGAACUUACCCGGACCUCUCCCUGCUCCAGGGAGAGUAAAAACUUGUCCAUAAAGUAUCCCCACAGCGUCCACGCCCAGCAGCGGGCUGAGGACCAGGGAUGAGAAUAUUGGCCGACAGGGAGGGGAGGAGGAAGCGGAAGAGGGGUCAGUGGGGCCACGCGGGCAGUGGAAGGAAGGCUUUGCUGACUGGCCGUCACGACCUUCCAGCUACAGCACCUGACUCACCUUCGACAUCGCUCUGUCGCCGUGAAGCGCCUGACAACAGAACACAUAAAACGUGGAGGUUCUUUUUGUCCAGCAGAUUUGCUUUUCCGUCUCGGACACUGAAGGAGGAAAUGCUUCUGCUCUCCUGCCUCUGCCAUCUGCCCUCCCUAGACCCAAGGCGACUGUUUUUCUCUGUGCCUCCGCCCUCAGAUAGGCUGCCCGCCAUCCUACCCUGCCACGUGUCCUGGAGGUGUCACAGGAGCUGCAUGUGUUGGACAACCCAGGAGCCGAAACACCGUUCCUGGCCUUCUGCUCCACUGCACUAGCCAGUAUUUCUUUCCCUUCCUUUUACAGUCUGUUGGCCCAUGAAUUGACUAGAUGCUACUGCAUUUGCAUAAUGAGGGUUCAGGUGAAAAUGAUAAAAGUGAAAAGGCAACCUGGGGGUCUGAGCCGUGGGUUGACUCUAGGAUUGACCCUGUGACCUUGUGCGUGUGGCGUCCAACGUGAGCCUCGGGAGCUCCGUCCCUGGCUCCUGCCCAUGAGCAGCUCAGCAGCUCCAACAAUAGGCAUGGCUCUUGCCAAGGAAAGCUGGCUGAGAUCCUGGAGGGCAGCACCCGGCUGCUCCCACCUCCUGGGCAGGAAGCACGGGAUGGGUAAGAGCUCUGUAACCCACAGCAAGCCAACUGAGCUCCUGGGGGCCGCCCUACCCCGGGCAUGAGACUCGUGUGCUGACUUAAGCAGGGUAAGGCACUCUGUAAUCCAGUGCUGAAUUGAGUGGCAUGGAUUGUCACGGUCAGAAGAGCAGCGGGAAGGGCUGGGCGACAUAGGCAGGAGUGUCAUGGGUCUCUCGGGGUCAGGAGGGCUGAGCAUCUCAGGGUCUGUGCUUGGAAAGUUUUAAGUCGAUAGUAAAAUGCAAUUGUUUUGCCUCUUUUGAGUCAACAUUCAGUAGGUUCGAAGGCAGGUAGUAGUCGCUGCUAUCCACUGCCUAUCCAAGCAGACAUUUAUUUAUCCAACACUAACUCCAUGCUCUGCCCUGGCUAGAUGGUGGGGAAACACAAGGCUGAAGGACAUGGGGCCUUCCCUCAAGGAGCUCACCUUGAGGCUUGAGGCUUGAGGCUCAGGCUUACUGAUGCGUGCUCCCCUUUGCACUCGGUGCAUUGUCCCCAGGCAACCAAUCUCAUGACCAAGGUUAACCCCACCAAAUUGUUCCAACGAAAUUUGCAAGGAAAACAAGAAGUGAUGAUAUAACUGGAUGACACAAGGGUGAGUCCUUUUAUGAACUGCUGACCGCAAGCUUUUUGACAUCUUUUCCUCGUGGAAAGCAAAGGAAGCCCCAUCCAUCCCAGUUACCACCUCCUACCCACUAUACUAUGUCACUCAACACUGGAUGAUUAGGAGGCCUGCACUUGAGUUCUGGCACUACCUCUUCCAAUCUCGGGCAAGUUGCCACCAUUUUGUACCUCGGUUUCACCAACGGGAGACAAAACAUAACAACAACCAAAAAAACCUCAAAUAGCAAAAAUAGAAAAUACAUACCACAACAGCAAGCUAUUAAGUACUAAUAGUAUCCUCAUACGGGAGUUUCCAUAAAAGCCUAUUCCAGUGCUACAGCCUAAUCAAGUUGUGGUACACAGUUCCGAGCUAUACAAUCGAUGCUGGAGAACGUUAGAUUCUGAUCUUCCACAACCCAGCAGGGGCUCCACAAAUUCAUGCAAAACCA
Long non-coding RNA from Acinonyx jubatus (cheetah), 2399 nucleotides. RefSeq lists it as uncharacterized. The record is from RefSeq and is a predicted model, not a curated record. The transcript has 2 exons. Lineage: Eukaryota; Metazoa; Chordata; Mammalia; Carnivora; Felidae.